This 301-nucleotide ribosomal RNA is filed under the name uncultured bacterium. Its description in RNAcentral is "bacterial SSU rRNA". It matches the Rfam family "Bacterial small subunit ribosomal RNA", at positions 775 to 1074 of the family's 1533-position model. The record is from RNAcentral.
GGAUUAGAAACCCGGGUAGUCCACGCCGUAAACGAUGGAUGCUAGCUGUUAGAGGUAUCGACCCCUCUAGUAGCGAAGCUAACGCGUUAAGCAUCCCGCCCGUGGAGUACGGUCGCAAGACUAAAACAUAAAGGAAUUGACGGGGACCCGCACAAGCGGUGGAGCGUGUUGUUUAAUUCGAUGGUAAACGAAGAACCUUACCCAGGUUUGACAUCCUUGGAAUUUCUCCGAAAGGAGAGAGUGCUUUAUUGAACCAAGUGACAGGUGUUGCAUGGCCGUCGUCAGCUCGUGUCGUGAGAUG